RNAcentral lists this long non-coding RNA (845 nucleotides) under Erythranthe guttata (spotted monkey flower). RNAcentral describes it as "long non-coding RNA (EGUT_LNC001817)". Lineage: Eukaryota; Viridiplantae; Streptophyta; Magnoliopsida; Lamiales; Phrymaceae. The record is from RNAcentral.
AGAAACGUAUAUCGAUGAGCUUUUCGACGGGACUGCAACUCCGAUGGGAAGAAAGAAGCCAUAAAAAAUUGUUGUGCCACACAAAAGAAGAGAUCAUCCCUGCAAAAUAAGAUGUGGUGAAAGCCAAAUAUCAGUAGCUAUAUAUGAUGCUGCGUUCUUUAUAAAUUAAUUAAUUAAAUUAUAUUGGUAGGCUAAGUUCAUAUGAAGAGCCCUGAAGAUUUGAUCAGCAUAUUUCGUUGGAUUUGAUUUCUAGGGCCAAUCAAUUAUCUGAAAGGUGAUUGAUAAUAGGGGCCUCAGUUAUUUAUCCCUUUUAAUUUGUCUUAAAUCAUUUUGUAUUUUCAUUUUAUUUCACUUCAUCUGUUGAUUAGUGUAAUCCAGAAUGCUGUUUUGUAGCUGUUCUUUCAUAGUUAUACAUUGUAUUUUUAUUGCAAUAUACAGCAAUUAAUUUUGUCAGAGAGAAUUACUUUCUUCUUUCAUCAGUGGAAGGAAUCAACUUGUAUAAAACAACUUAAUGGAAAAGAUACCCCUAAGUGGACAAGAUGAAUUGGUAUGUAAUUGAAUGUGUUUUUAGGUUAAUUAUUUGUUUUGAAGAAAAACACAAAAUUUAUGCUUCACCAAUUACAAAUAAUUUUGCUAUCGUAAUUAAGAAGAAUACAGAGACAGACAAUCAUUUAACUUCAAUUUAAGUUGUUCCUUUUCAACAGUUAAAUUACCUGGUUUGCCCUAAUUCUUCGCGCCACAGUGAAGAACGAUGAACGCAGGAAGAUGGAGAUAAUUUUUCUUGUUCUUCAACUGCAGAUUUUGAAUUUCCUUCAGUUGCCCUAAUUUAUUGCACUGCAAUGAAG